Molecule: unclassified non-coding RNA, 151 nt
Filed under: uncultured Myriangiales
Lineage: Eukaryota; Fungi; Ascomycota; Dothideomycetes
Description: sequence contains ITS2
Source: RNAcentral
CACCAAUCAAGCCACGCUUGGUAUUGGGCGCGUGGCCCCUCCUCGGAGAGGCCCGCCCGAAAUGCAUCGGCGAGGAAACCGACCCCCGGCGUGUUAGAUUUCUGAACGUCAGGAGCACCGGUGCCCCCAGCCGUACAAUCUUUUUUCUCAA